UACGUAGGUGGCAAGCGUUAUCCGGAUUUAUUGGGCGUAAAGAGAACGCAGGCGGUCUUUUAAGUCUGAUGUGAAAGCCUUCGGCUUAACCGGAGUAGUGCAUUGGAAACUGGGAGACUUGAGUGCAGAAGAGGAGAGUGGAACUCCAUGUGUAGCGGUGAAAUGCGUAGAUAUAUGGAAGAACACCAGUGGCGAAAGCGGCCCUCUGGUCUGUAACUGACGCUGAGGUUCGAAAGCGUGGGUAGCAAACAGG
This 253-nucleotide ribosomal RNA is filed under the name uncultured bacterium. RNAcentral's name for it is "partial 16S ribosomal RNA". It matches the Rfam family "Bacterial small subunit ribosomal RNA", at positions 524 to 776 of the family's 1533-position model. The record is from RNAcentral.